Molecule: transfer RNA, 77 nt
Filed under: Pyrinomonadaceae bacterium
Lineage: Bacteria; Pseudomonadati; Acidobacteriota; Blastocatellia; Blastocatellales; Pyrinomonadaceae
Description: tRNA-Gly
Rfam family: tRNA
About the family: Transfer RNA (tRNA) molecules are approximately 80 nucleotides in length.
Source: RNAcentral
GCAUCGUUGGUCCAGUUGGUUCAAGACACGGCGUUGCCAGCGCUGAGACACCGGUUCGAUUCCGGUACGAUGCUCCA